GACGAACGCUAGCGGCGUGCUUAACACAUGCAAGUCGAACGGAAAGGCCCUGCUUGCAGGGUACUCGAGUGGCGAACGGGUGAGUAACACGUGGGUGAUCUGCCCUGCACUUCGGGAUAAGCCUGGGAAACUGGGUCUAAUACCGGAUAGGAGCCAUUUUUAGUGUGAUGGUUGGAAAGUUUUUUCGGUGUAGGAUGAGCUCGCGGCCUAUCAGCUUGUUGGUGGGGUAAUGGCCUACCAAGGCGGCGACGGGUAGCCGGCCUGAGAGGGUGGACGGCCACAUUGGGACUGAGAUACGGCCCAGACUCCUACGGGAGGCAGCAGUGGGGAAUAUUGCACAAUGGGCGCAAGCCUGAUGCAGCGACGCCGCGUGGGGGAUGACGGCCUUCGGGUUGUAAACUCCUUUCGCUAGGGACGAAGCUUUUUGUGACGGUACCUAGAGAAGAAGCACCGGCUAACUACGUG
This 465-nucleotide ribosomal RNA is filed under the name uncultured bacterium. RNAcentral describes it as "partial 16S ribosomal RNA". It matches the Rfam family "Bacterial small subunit ribosomal RNA", at positions 28 to 507 of the family's 1533-position model. The record is from RNAcentral.